RNAcentral lists this ribosomal RNA (786 nucleotides) under uncultured bacterium. Its description in RNAcentral is "bacterial SSU rRNA". It matches the Rfam family "Bacterial small subunit ribosomal RNA", at positions 8 to 794 of the family's 1533-position model. The record is from RNAcentral.
AGAGUUUGAUCCUGGCUCAGGAUGAACGCUGGCGGCGUGCUUAACACAUGCAAGUCGAGCGAAGCACUUUGGAAAGAUUCUUCGGAUGAUUUCCUUUGUGACUGAGCGGCGGACGGGUGAGUAACGCGUGGGUAACCUGCCUCAUACAGGGGGAUAACAGUUAGAAAUGACUGCUAAUACCGCAUAAGACCACGGUACCGCAUGGUACAGUGGUAAAAACUCCGGUGGUAUGAGAUGGACCCGCGUCUGAUUAGGUAGUUGGUGGGGUAACGGCCUACCAAGCCGACGAUCAGUAGCCGACCUGAGAGGGUGACCGGCCACAUUGGGACUGAGACACGGCCCAGACUCCUACGGGAGGCAGCAGUGGGGAAUAUUGCACAAUGGAGGAAACUCUGAUGCAGCGACGCCGCGUGAAGGAUGAAGUAUUUCGGUAUGUAAACUUCUAUCAGCAGGGAAGAAAAUGACGGUACCUGACUAAGAAGCCCCGGCUAACUACGUGCCAGCAGCCGCGGUAAUACGUAGGGGGCAAGCGUUAUCCGGAUUUACUGGGUGUAAAGGGAGCGUAGACGGCACGGCAAGCCAGAUGUGAAAGCCCGGGGCUCAACCCCGGGACUGCAUUUGGAACUGCUGAGCUAGAGUGUCGGAGAGGCAAGUGGAAUUCCUAGUGUAGCGGUGAAAUGCGUAGAUAUUAGGAGGAACACCAGUGGCGAAGGCGGCUUGCUGGACGAUGACUGACGUUGAGGCUCGAAAGCGUGGGGAGCAGACAGGAUUAGAUACCCUGGUAGU